RNAcentral lists this ribosomal RNA (495 nucleotides) under uncultured bacterium. RNAcentral's name for it is "partial 16S ribosomal RNA". It matches the Rfam family "Bacterial small subunit ribosomal RNA", at positions 28 to 507 of the family's 1533-position model. The record is from RNAcentral.
GAUGAACGCUGGCGGCGUGCCUAAUACAUGCAAGUCGAGCGAACGGACGAGAAGCUUGCUUCUCUGAUGUUAGCGGCGGACGGGUGAGUAACACGUGGAUAACCUACCUAUAAGACUGGGAUAACUUCGGGAAACCGGAGCUAAUACCGGAUAAUAUUUUGAACCGCAUGGUUCAAAAGUGAAAGACGGUCUUGCUGUCACUUAUAGAUGGAUCCGCGCUGCAUUAGCUAGUUGGUAAGGUAACGGCUUACCAAGGCAACGAUGCAUAGCCGACCUGAGAGGGUGAUCGGCCACGCUGGAACUGACACGGUCCAGACUCCUACGGGAGGCAGCAGUAGGGAAUCUUCCGCAAUGGGCGAAAGCCUGACGGAGCAACGCCGCGUGAGUGAUGAAGGUCUUCGGAUCGUAAAACUCUGUUAUUAGGGAAGAACAUAUGUGUAAGUAACUGUGCACAUCUUGACGGUACCUAAUCAGAAAGCCACGGCUAACUACGUG